Molecule: ribosomal RNA, 357 nt
Filed under: uncultured bacterium
Lineage: Bacteria
Description: bacterial SSU rRNA
Rfam family: Bacterial small subunit ribosomal RNA
Source: RNAcentral
AGGCACGGGAGCAAUCCUGGUGGCGAGUGGCGAACGGGUGAGUAAUAUAUCGGAACGUGCCCAGUCGUGGGGGAUAACGCAGCGAAAGCUGUGCUAAUACCGCAUACGAUCUACGGAUGAAAGCGGGGGAUCGCAAGACCUCGCGCGAUUGGAGCGCGCCGAUAUCAGAUUAGCUAGUUGGUGAGGUAAAGGCUCACCAAGGCGACGACGGAUAGCCGGCCUGAGUGGAGUGGCCGGCCACAGGGGCGCUGAGACACGGGUCCCACUCCUACGGGAGGCAGCAGUUAGGAAUCUUUCACAUAUGGCGCGAAAGCCUGAUGGAGCGACGCCGCGUGAGGGAUGAAGGUCUUCGGAUUG